This 1214-nucleotide long non-coding RNA is filed under the name Cricetulus griseus (Chinese hamster). RNAcentral describes it as "lncRNA (ENSCGRG00015032326.1)". The record is from RNAcentral. Lineage: Eukaryota; Metazoa; Chordata; Mammalia; Rodentia; Cricetidae.
GAACCAGAGGGCGGGGUCCCCACAGGAAAGGUGAUAGAUCAGCCCCAGCAAAAGCUCUCCCACGUAGGAAAUGGGCCUUACGUGGAAAAUUGACUGCGCCUGCGCGAGACCGUGGGGCUGGCGCUCCCUACAACUGCCCCCGAAAAGGAUCCGAGUGUCCUGCGUGUAUUUCUUGCUGGUGAGAAAAUACAGCGCGCGCGGGACAUAUGGUGCCGAAACCCGGGAAGCUUAACAUCACCGGCACCGCGGAGAACCCUUGGCUACAAGGCGGAUUCAGAACUGCAGGGUGGUAAAUUCGGAGAGGAUGAAGAAAAUCCUCUGUGGAUCCCAGAAAGACUCACCCGAAGAGCCCCUUCGGACCUUCAAAAGUCGGAACUCCACCCUCUCCCCGGGAGUUGAGAGCCGCUAUUGUUAUCCAGAUUAACUCCUGUCCUUGGUGGAGAGAUUGCCACUGCUUAAGUGGUGGGGGUGGGAUUGUUUGAUGCAGCCGUUUGCGGAUUGCUGUUACUUCUGGCUGGUCUAUGAGAAAGGGGUGGGGGUGGGAUUGUUUGAUGCAGCCGUUUGCGGAUUGGUGUUACUUUUGGCUGGUAUGUAAGCUCUAGGCACAAAAUUAAAGAGAGAUCGCCCAAGCGCUUAUAUUUUGGCUAACUAUGCUUAAGCAAUAGGCCGCCGGCCAGACAGCUCUUGCACACCCGGAGCCUAGGCUCAUUGCACAGGGUAGAGUGUCUGGUCUGGGCAGCCCAAUGAGGGAUGCUGAGCAAAGGCAUCGCACAGAGUUGCCUAAUAUGCAGGCUUCUCUGAGAGGCAUGUUGUCCUGCAUAAGGGUUGCCUGCCCUAGUCUCCCUUUCCCAGAAAAACGGCAGAGGACAGGUCGAGAGCGCUUCGGGUCAAGCUAACAGCCUGAUGGCGACUCUUGUACACAGUCUUAAUGUUUGAUUGGGAAGGUACAACCUCUGCCUCUAUCCCUCAACAUAUGGGUGACCUAUUUGCUUGUAAAAAUAUAAAGCCUUAUCAUUAAUUAGUAAAAAAAGGGGGAGAUGUAGGGAGCCGUCCCUGCAUUCUCCAUUACAAUGAUGGCGCCUGCAUCCGGCAGGCACUGAAUGUAAACAAGAUUAUUGCGCAGGCGCUGGGUAAUUUUCCAUUCCUUGAUCUCUGCCUAUUCCGUGGCGUCAUAUGGCCUGAUGAGCUGCAGCCAAUCAUAGGGUGACACGUCC